CUACGGGCGGCACCAGGCGAGAAAACUUUGCAAUGUGCGAAAGCACGACAAGGUUAAUCCGAGUGGUUUGUGCUAAACGAACCUUUUGACAGUCCUAGAAACACUGUUGAAUAAGGGGUGGGCAAGUUCUGGUGUCAGCCGCCGCGGUAAAGCCAGCACCUCAAGUGGUCAGGAUGAUUAUUGGGCCUAAAGCAUCCGUAGCCGGCUCUGUAAGUUUUCGGUUAAAUCUGUACGCUCAACGUACAGGCUGCCGGGAAUACUGCAGAGCUAGGGAGUGGGAGAGGUAGACGGUACUCGGUAGGAAGGGGUAAGAUCCUUUGAUCUAUUGAUGACCACCUGUGGCGAAGGCGGUCUACCAGAACACGUCCGACGGUGAGGGAUGAAAGCUGGGGGAGCAAACCGGAUUAGAUACCCGUGUAGUC
RNAcentral lists this ribosomal RNA (422 nucleotides) under uncultured archaeon. RNAcentral's name for it is "partial 16S ribosomal RNA". It matches the Rfam family "Archaeal small subunit ribosomal RNA", at positions 323 to 746 of the family's 1478-position model. The record is from RNAcentral.